CUUCCGUAGGGUAACCUGCGGAAGGAUCAUUA
This 32-nucleotide ribosomal RNA is filed under the name Phakopsora meibomiae. Its description in RNAcentral is "partial 18S ribosomal RNA". The record is from RNAcentral. Lineage: Eukaryota; Fungi; Basidiomycota; Pucciniomycetes; Pucciniales; Phakopsoraceae.